GUGUUUAAACCCUAGGAGGGCUCUGAUACCAUAAAGGCAAUCUCAGAAAAGGUAUUUCAUUAAACUGUGAUCUUGGGUAUAAAUAACCCUUACAAGAUAAGAUUUGUUAUGAUACAGCUAUUGUAACAACACUUAACGUUUAUCUCUACAAAAAUACACCUCUAUCUAAUAAUUGUCACCCACAGUUGAUGUUACUUGCAAGAUGUCCAUUUGUUUAGAGAUUACCAUGUGUAAUUCAAUACUGAAUUUGCAUUUGAACUCUAAGGUGUAAGAAUAGGGCCAAUCAAAACAAAAUAUUAUUUGUCCCAUAAACUCUUCAGAUCAGAAUUAAAAAUCACCAUUGUAAUGUACAACACAAAGCUAACAUAUGUACCACACUACCACAUGCCUUAAAGUUGAAACAUACGGUUCAACAAAGAAGUUGUAUUAGCCAAAAUUGCUUUUAAUGAGUUAGAAUUCUCAGCUUAAGGCGUCAGACCACUGUUUUGGAGCUACGGCCAUUACAAAAAGAAUUCCAAAGAGAGCCAAUUCAUUGAUGCUUGAUGUUUUAGAUCAAUUUAGUAGCAAGACUAAGAACACAGUCCUAGAAUGCAAGUGACCUAGGUGGGAAAAGAUAUAUCACCUUCUGGAUUUUCCAACAAAGCAAUGAACCAAAA
Molecule: unclassified non-coding RNA, 656 nt
Filed under: Hevea brasiliensis (rubber tree)
Lineage: Eukaryota; Viridiplantae; Streptophyta; Magnoliopsida; Malpighiales; Euphorbiaceae
Source: RNAcentral